CCAAGUGACAGACUUGUGUUUUAUUCUGAAGGAAGCGUUUUAAGUUGUACUAGUUAGAGUAGUUCCGCUUCCGGUUCGCCACGUAGUUCUUACGAUGCGUUCAGCGCUUUAAGCAGUCCUUGACGAUAAACUGCCUAAAACAGCCUACCCUGUUUAUCCUGCUUUCACUGCCAUCCAUUGCCUGUCCCUGCUGCAUGUACAUGCUGUUCACCUGCGUGCCUACGGCUGUAAUAAAGUGUCAAACCUUCUUGGACGACUCGUCAGCUUUCAAACCGAAGCCCUGCACCGGGCGGUAACAAUCCGGAAUCAGCAACCGGGGGUCGUAACUUCCCCACAAGUAUAUUGUGGAGUUUGUGGAAAAACAAGGAAGCAAGCAACCAUUUUUUUUGGAAAUAUCCAAGAUGAACCUGGAAUGAGGAGAAAAGAACUGAAAAUGGUAAAGUCUCAAAUUGGUUCAAAAGCUAGAAGCAGUAGUUUUGCCACAACUAUAACAUCUGUUCAGAAGAGAGUGGAACCUGUGAAUAAAGGAGAGAAGAACUCGUGAGUUUGUUUUGUGGAGCUGGUCAUUCUUUGGAUAUUUGCCUUCGUCUGGAUAAAAGGACACAAGAAGAGAAGAUGUCUUUUUUGAAGGAAAAUGGGACGUGUUUUGGUUGUCUGGGUACAGGAGUAAAGACUGCAGAAAAUGUCUGACCCAUGUUCUCCAUCUCUUUUUCUCCGGCCAGUGUUGUUUUUGGCAGGAAGUGUUAAAAAGCAUGAGCAUGACCGCUCUCAGCUUCCGUAGGAUCAUUCUGUGUAUUUUAUUUCUCUUGAUAGAAACCACAGACUUACAGAUAUACAUGUGUUCAUACGUAGAAUGUGACUCAGCAACAAUAAAGCGUGGCAUAAGGAGAAGUGUGUUGGACUGGUGCUGUAUACCUCAUCUGUUCUGACUGGACCAUCUGUGGAGGCUGCACAUAUAUAAAUCAGUGUCUAAUACUCAUCUCUGAGGUCACAGGUUGGUCCUUCUGAACUGAGAUUAUUUUACCAACACCUCUUUUACCAGUUAAACACGUGUAAAAUGAAACAGUCAACAAACGGCUGAGUGCAUGUGGUCUCUCAGAGACAAGCUGUGGACCUCUGUCCUCAGUCCUCAGCUCC
This is a long non-coding RNA of Melanotaenia boesemani (Boeseman's rainbowfish), 1137 nucleotides long. RefSeq lists it as uncharacterized. The transcript is spliced from 3 exons. The record is from RefSeq and is a predicted model, not a curated record. Lineage: Eukaryota; Metazoa; Chordata; Actinopteri; Atheriniformes; Melanotaeniidae.